GUGAUUUUCCUGCCUCAGCCUCCCGAGUAGCUGGGAUUACAGCAAUCCUGAGAUGAGGAGGCUGAGGCCAAAGGAAAGACUAAGACCUGCCCAUGGACACAUGUUGGCAAAGACCAAGCAGGAACUCGAGCCAGUUUACCUGAAACCAAGGUCCAGGCAUUUGUGAAGGUAGAAGGCUGAAUAAAUGAAAUUGUAUAAUUA
Molecule: long non-coding RNA, 201 nt
Filed under: Homo sapiens (human)
Lineage: Eukaryota; Metazoa; Chordata; Mammalia; Primates; Hominidae
Description: HSALNT0399110
Source: RNAcentral